Molecule: ribosomal RNA, 675 nt
Filed under: Triticum aestivum (bread wheat)
Lineage: Eukaryota; Viridiplantae; Streptophyta; Magnoliopsida; Poales; Poaceae
Description: partial small subunit ribosomal RNA
Source: RNAcentral
AUGGACGCCGGGGAGAGCGCCGUGACGUGCGUCGACUUCUGGGCCAACGGGUUCGGCAUGCGGGCGCGGAUCGCGCUGCGCGAGCUAGGCGUGGCGUUCGAGUACGUCGAGGAGGACCUCCGCGUCGGCGUGAGGAGCGACCUGGUGCGGCGCAUGAACCCCGUCCACCGCUCCGUGCCCAUCCUGAUCCACCGCGGCCGUCCGGUCUGCGGCUCCCUCAACAUCCUCGAGUACAUCGACGAGGUCUGGAGCGCACCGGGCGAGACCCGCCGCUUGCUCCCCGGCGACCCGGCCGGCAGGGCCGACGCCAGGUUCUGGGCCGACUUCGUUGACCACAAGGUGUUCCCUACUCAGACAAGGUUCCUGAAGAGCAAGGGCGAGGAGAAAGAUGUGGCCAAGGAAGAGCUUGUCGAGCAACUCAAACUCCUGGAGGAGGUGCUUGGGGACAAGGGAUAUUUUUCGGGCGAAGAAUUCGGGUUCUUGGAUAUCGUCCUCAUCCCAUUUUCAAGCAUGUUUCGUGGGUACGAGCAGCAUGGAGGGUUUGACCUCGAGGUUGAGUGCCCCAACCUCAUGCGAUGGGUGAAGAGGUGCAAGGAGAGGGAGAGUGUCGGAGCUGUUCUUCCGGAUGAGACGAAGAUGUACCAAUUACACAAGGAGUGGUACGGUAUUGAGUAG